GACGAACGCUGGCGGCGUGCUUAACACAUGCAAGUCGAACGGAAACGCCCUGCUUUUGUGGGGUGCUCGAGUGGCGAACGGGUGAGUAACACGUGAGUAACCUGCCCUUGACUUUGGGAUAACUUCAGGAAACUGGGGCUAAUACCGGAUAGGAGCCCCUGCUGCAUGGUGGGGGUUGGAAAGUUUCGGCGGGUGGGGAUGGACUCGCGGCUUAUCAGCUUGUUGGUGGGGUAGUGGCUUACCAAGGCUUUGACGGGUAGCCGGCCUGAGAGGGUGACCGGCCACAUUGGGACUGCGAUACGGCCCAGACUCCUACGGGAGGCAGCAGUCGGAAGUAUUACCCAGCGGGCCGGAGCCUGAGGCAGCAACGCCGCGUGCGGGAAGACGGCCUUCGGGGAGUAAACCGCUUUCGCCUAUGACGAAGCGGGAGUGACGGUAAUGGAUAAAGAAGCACCGGCUAACUACGUG
This 468-nucleotide ribosomal RNA is filed under the name uncultured bacterium. Its description in RNAcentral is "partial 16S ribosomal RNA". It matches the Rfam family "Bacterial small subunit ribosomal RNA", at positions 28 to 507 of the family's 1533-position model. The record is from RNAcentral.